Molecule: long non-coding RNA, 390 nt
Organism: Lolium rigidum
Lineage: Eukaryota; Viridiplantae; Streptophyta; Magnoliopsida; Poales; Poaceae
Exons: 3
Source: RefSeq, a predicted model, not a curated record
GAUCAUGACCCGCCGCAUUUCCAUGGCAUUGAGACGAGGUGUGUGAGAAUAAUCCAAAGAGGCCGCACUACACAAUUAAUCUAUGUGAUACUUGAAUCUGCAAGCUCUAGGUUGUCAAGGAAGCGAUUGUAAUAACUUGAUGGAUACGGCGCUGCUAGACGAGAGACAGUUAGGAAAGCAGCCCAUUGUCUAAAUUUAAUAAAAGGAGGCUGCUAUGACAGCGGUAUCUCUCUUUUCUAAUUGAACUAUGCAAGCUCAAAUAUUCGUUUUUUGCUACUAGUGAGUUUCUUCAAAGACCAUCAGGUUCUCUCUCAAAUGUACGGGAAAAAUCUAAUCUUUGUUUGUGCAGAUCCGUUUUUGUCUGCUUACAAGGUAAUUGAUGCAUAUAUG